GAUCCUGCUCAGGAUGAACGCUGGCGGCGUGCCUAAUACAUGCAAGUCGAACGCUUCACUUCGGUGAAGAGUGGCGAACGGGUGAGUAAUACAUAAGUAACCUGGCAUCUACAGGGGGAUAACUGAUGGAAACGUCAGCUAAGACCGCAUAGGUGUAGAGAUCGCAUGAACUCUAUAUGAAAAGUGCUACGGGACUGGUAGAUGAUGGACUUAUGGCGCAUUAG
This 224-nucleotide ribosomal RNA is filed under the name uncultured bacterium. Its description in RNAcentral is "partial 16S ribosomal RNA". It matches the Rfam family "Bacterial small subunit ribosomal RNA", at positions 15 to 244 of the family's 1533-position model. The record is from RNAcentral.